UAGUUGUAAACCAUCCCCGAAGUUUUAUUAAAUUAUACAUAGCAGCAUUCACUUCUGGUAGGAACAAUAUGUAUUGUUAAAAUGCUUUCAUCUUUUCCUGUGUAUAAAUAUACCAGAGUAGUAGUAGAAUCCAGAUUCUGGCGCAGUUUGAUAUUUCAACUUAAAAAAAUUAAUUUCUGAUGACCAUUCACAUUCUUUUCUUUUUUUGUUCUUUGUUCACAUACUUAAAUUUAAUAAUAUU
Non-coding RNA from Cinara cedri, 241 nucleotides. NCBI's taxonomy places the organism in Eukaryota, Metazoa, Arthropoda, Insecta, Hemiptera, Aphididae. The record is from the annotation of a GenBank genome assembly.